UACGUAGGGGGCAAGCGUUGUCCGGAUUUAUUGGGCGUAAAGAGCGUGUAGGCGGCUUUACAGGUCCGUUGUGAAAACUCGAGGCUCAACCUCGAGACGCCGGUGGAAACCGUAAAGCUAGAGUCCGGAAGAGGAGAGUGGAAUUCCUGGUGUAGCGGUGAAAUGCGCAGAUAUCAGGAGGAACACCGAUGGCGAAGGCAGCUCACUGGGACGGUACUGACGCUGAGACGCGAAAGCGUGGGUAGCAAACAGG
This 253-nucleotide ribosomal RNA is filed under the name uncultured bacterium. RNAcentral's name for it is "partial 16S ribosomal RNA". It matches the Rfam family "Bacterial small subunit ribosomal RNA", at positions 524 to 776 of the family's 1533-position model. The record is from RNAcentral.